Molecule: long non-coding RNA, 356 nt
Organism: Hyaena hyaena (striped hyena)
Lineage: Eukaryota; Metazoa; Chordata; Mammalia; Carnivora; Hyaenidae
Exons: 3
Source: RefSeq, a predicted model, not a curated record
CUGCAGGUGACACCGGCCAAGUGCUUCGACAGCUACCAGCGGGUGUGGUGGAUGGUCGCUCUGUUGCAGUCCCUCCUUCCUGACAGAAGAGCUUCUAAGACCCUUGGAAUCUUUGGCGUAAGAAGAGUGUCUUUUUUGUAUGCUGAUGCGAUGGCUGAUGGCUGGGGUCUUCACGAUAGCUUCAGGAUGGAGGUUGGUUGCCAGAAAGACCAAGGCAUGACAGGAGUGGACUCCAGACCAUGUCAAGACUGAAUUGAGUUGUAGGCAACCAGUUGGCAUCUGGAGAUUUGAAGAAUUGGUUGGUGUGGGGGAGGAAACCCCCCCAUCAUACAUUUCAUGUCAGAAGUGUCAUGAAU